Molecule: ribosomal RNA, 478 nt
Filed under: uncultured Planctomycetales bacterium
Lineage: Bacteria; Pseudomonadati; Planctomycetota; Planctomycetia; Planctomycetales
Description: bacterial SSU rRNA
Rfam family: Bacterial small subunit ribosomal RNA
Source: RNAcentral
UUCGCAAUGCCCGAAAGGGUGACGAAGCGACGCCGCGUGUGGGAAGAAGGCCUUCGGGUUGUAAACCACUGUCGGGAGUUAAGAAAUGUAAGGAUGUUAAUAGCGUCCUUACUUGACUAAGGCUCCAGAGGAAGCCACGGCUAACUCUGUGCCAGCAGCCGCGGUAAUACAGAGGCGGCAAGCGUUGUUCGGAAUUAUUGGGCGUAAAGAGCACGUAGGCGGCCAUGUAAGUCGGUUGUGAAAGCCUUCCGCUCAACGGAAGAACAGCAUCCGAUACUACAUGGCUUGAGUGCGGGAGGGGAGAGUGGAACUUCUGGUGGAGCGGUGAAAUGCGUAGAUAUCAGAAGGAACGCCGGCGGCGAAAGCGGCUCUCUGGCCCAUAACCGACGCUGAGUGUGCGAAAGCUAGGGGAGCAAACGGGAUUAGAUACCCCGGUAGUCCUAGCCGUAAACGAUGGGCACUAAGUAGAGGGGUUUUA